RNAcentral lists this ribosomal RNA (429 nucleotides) under Bacteroidota bacterium. RNAcentral's name for it is "Bacteroidetes bacterium partial 16S ribosomal RNA". It matches the Rfam family "Bacterial small subunit ribosomal RNA", at positions 355 to 776 of the family's 1533-position model. The record is from RNAcentral. Lineage: Bacteria; Pseudomonadati; Bacteroidota.
UAGGGAAUCUUCCGCAAUGGACGCAAGUCUGACGGAGCAACGCCGCGUGAGUGAAGAAGGAUUUCGGUUCGUAAAACUCUGUUGUUAGAGAAGAACAGCGCAUAGAGUAACUGUUAUGCGUGUGACGGUAUCUAACCAGAAAGCCACGGCUAACUACGUGCCAGCAGCCGCGGUAAUACGUAGGUGGCAAGCGUUGUCCGGAUUUAUUGGGCGUAAAGCGAGCGCAGGCGGUCAAUUAAGUCUGAUGUGAAAGCCCCCGGCUCAACCGGGGAGGGUCAUUGGAAACUGGUUGACUUGAGUGCAGAAGAGGAGAGUGGAAGUCCAUGUGUAGCGGUGAAAUGCGUAGAUAUAUGGAGGAACACCAGUGGCGAAGGCGACUCUCUGGUCUGUAACCGACGCUGAGGCUCGAAAGCGUGGGUAGCAAACAGG